GACGAACGUUGGCGGCGUGCUUAAUACAUGCAAGUCAACUGAAGCAGUGGUAGCAAUAUCGCUGUGGAGGUGGCGCACGGGUGAGUAACACGUAGGUAAUCUGCCUUCAGGUCUGGCAUAACUCCGGGAAACCGGGGCUAAUAGCAGAUGAUGCAGCGGCUCGACAUCGAGACAGUUGUUAAAGCUAUGGCGCCUGAAGAUGAGCCUGCGUCUGAUUAGCUAGUUGGCGGGGUAACGGCCCACCAAGGCAACGAUCAGUAGCUGGUCUGAGAGGAUGAUCAGCCACACUGGAACUGAGACACGGUCCAGACUCCUACGGGAGGCAGCAGUAAGGAAUAUUGCUCAAUGGGAGAAAUCCUGAAGCAGCAACGCCGCGUGAGGGACGAAGGGCUUUUGCUUGUAAACCUCUGUAGUGAGAGAAAAAAAUCCCAAUCUUUGGGACAUGAUGGUAGCUCAAAAGUAAGCCCCGGCUAACUACGUG
This 481-nucleotide ribosomal RNA is filed under the name uncultured bacterium. Its description in RNAcentral is "partial 16S ribosomal RNA". It matches the Rfam family "Bacterial small subunit ribosomal RNA", at positions 28 to 507 of the family's 1533-position model. The record is from RNAcentral.